UUCACAAGAUAUACCUCAAAUUCACCUGGUGGUCAUAACCAAGAAUGUCAAUUGUAGUGAAAUCUUAGGGAUUGUAUCACCCAGUCUUACUAAUCAAUCAAUAUGU
This is a long non-coding RNA of Amblyraja radiata (thorny skate), 106 nucleotides long. RefSeq lists it as uncharacterized. Lineage: Eukaryota; Metazoa; Chordata; Chondrichthyes; Rajiformes; Rajidae. The record is from RefSeq and is a predicted model, not a curated record. The transcript is spliced from 3 exons.